GUUGUUGCAGUUAAAAAGCUCGUAGUUGAAUUUCGGGAUUGACACAUCGGUCGUGCCUUAAGGGGUAUGAACUGGUGUAGUCAAUUUCUCACCUUCUGGAGAACCGCGAUGCCCUUAAUUGGGUGUCACGGGGAACCAGGACCUUUACUUUGAAAAAAUUAGAGUGUUUAAAGCAGGCAUUUUGCUUGAAUACAUUAGCAUGGAAUAAUAAAAUAGGACGGCAUGAUUCUAUUUUGUUGGUUUCUAGGAUCACCGUAAUGAUUAAUAGGGAUAGUUGGGGGCAUUAGUAUUCAAUUGUCAGAGGUGAAAUUCUUGGAUUUAUUGAAGACUAACUACUGCGAAAGCAUUUGCCAAGGAUGUUUUCAUUAAUCAAGAACGAAAGUUAGGGGAUCGAAGACGAUCAGAUACCGUCGUAGUCUUAACCAUAAACUAUGCCGACUAGGAAUCAGACGAUGUUAAUUUUUUAAUGACUCGUUCGGCACCUU
RNAcentral lists this ribosomal RNA (485 nucleotides) under uncultured Glomus. RNAcentral's name for it is "SSU rRNA". It matches the Rfam family "Eukaryotic small subunit ribosomal RNA", at positions 609 to 1089 of the family's 1831-position model. Lineage: Eukaryota; Fungi; Glomeromycota; Glomeromycetes; Glomerales; Glomeraceae. The record is from RNAcentral.